GGGGUAUGAUUCUCGCUUAGGGUGCGAGAGGUCCCCGGUUCAAAUCCUGGUUGAGCCCUCGGUGCUUUGCUCAAUGUUGUGCACCGCCUAGAAAGAUUGAGCUGUUAUUUCGUGAAAUGCUUCAUGAUUCCAUUUGAUAUCCCAUAA
Molecule: long non-coding RNA, 147 nt
Organism: Gadus macrocephalus (Pacific cod)
Lineage: Eukaryota; Metazoa; Chordata; Actinopteri; Gadiformes; Gadidae
Exons: 2
Source: RefSeq, a predicted model, not a curated record